GUUCGCUGCCGCAUAGGCAGCUCAGAAA
Non-coding RNA from Delftia acidovorans SPH-1, 28 nucleotides. NCBI's taxonomy places the organism in Bacteria, Pseudomonadati, Pseudomonadota, Betaproteobacteria, Burkholderiales, Comamonadaceae. The record is from Rfam.